UGCACAUUUCUCUAAAGAGAGAGAAACUCUGAAUUUUAAUGAGAUUCUUAAAGUUGUCCAUGACCACAAAAGGUUUGACUCAUCUACCUCUCUCUGUCUUUCCCAGUUUUGACUUUCUGCUGUUCCCAGAAGGCCUUGAGAGGUGUCCAGCAAGACCAUCUCUCAUGAAGCUUUCUCCUGAGAUGACAGAGUCACAGGAGGCUGGGUGAGGAUCUACUCAGUAAAUCUAGCCUACAAAGACAGGCUAUAGAGGAAGAAUCUGCUCAGGAGGACAGAGGAAGCCCAGAUCUGCUGAAAGGAGUGGGGAGGAAUCCGAACAGGCCAGGAAUGACAAGGGCCAACCUGUCCAGGUGAGAAGAACAGGUUACUAUGGAAACAAGCCAUUUUGUAGUAUUGAGUGAUGGAUGCAUAAGGUGGGCAGAACUGGUUAGGAUCAGAGUUGCA
Callithrix jacchus (white-tufted-ear marmoset) is the source of this 444-nucleotide long non-coding RNA. RefSeq lists it as uncharacterized. Lineage: Eukaryota; Metazoa; Chordata; Mammalia; Primates; Cebidae. The record is from RefSeq and is a predicted model, not a curated record.